Molecule: ribosomal RNA, 2771 nt
Filed under: Klebsiella pneumoniae
Lineage: Bacteria; Pseudomonadati; Pseudomonadota; Gammaproteobacteria; Enterobacterales; Enterobacteriaceae
Description: bacterial LSU rRNA
Rfam family: Bacterial large subunit ribosomal RNA
Source: RNAcentral
CACUAUCGUUAACUGAAUACAUAGGUUAACGAGGCGAACCGGGGGAACUGAAACAUCUAAGUAACCCCGCGGAAAAGAAAUCAACCGAGAUUCCCCCAGUAGCGGCGAGCGAACGGGGAGCAGCCCAGAGUCUGAAUCAGCUUGUGUGUUAGUGGAACGGUCUGGAAAGUCCGACGGUACAGGGUGAUAGUCCCGUACACCAAAAUGCACAGGUUGUGAACUCGAAGAGUAGGGCGGGACACGUGGUAUCCUGUCUGAAUAUGGGGGGACCAUCCUCCAAGGCUAAAUACUCCUGACUGACCGAUAGUGAACCAGUACCGUGAGGGAAAGGCGAAAAGAACCCCGGCGAGGGGAGUGAAAAAGAACCUGAAACCGUGUACGUACAAGCAGUGGGAGCACCUUCGGGUGUGACUGCGUACCUUUUGUAUAAUGGGUCAGCGACUUAUAUUCUGUAGCAAGGUUAACCGUAUAGGGGAGCCGCAGGGAAACCGAGUCUUAACUGGGCGUUAAGUUGCAGGGUAUAGACCCGAAACCCGGUGAUCUAGCCAUGGGCAGGUUGAAGGUUGGGUAACACUAACUGGAGGACCGAACCGACUAAUGUUGAAAAAUUAGCGGAUGACUUGUGGCUGGGGGUGAAAGGCCAAUCAAACCGGGAGAUAGCUGGUUCUCCCCGAAAGCUAUUUAGGUAGCGCCUCGUGAAUUCAUCUUCGGGGGUAGAGCACUGUUUCGGCUAGGGGGUCAUCCCGACUUACCAACCCGAUGCAAACUACGAAUACCGAAGAAUGUUAUCACGGGAGACACACGGCGGGUGCUAACGUCCGUCGUGAAGAGGGAAACAACCCAGACCGCCAGCUAAGGUCCCAAAGUCAUGGUUAAGUGGGAAACGAUGUGGGAAGGCACAGACAGCCAGGAUGUUGGCUUAGAAGCAGCCAUCAUUUAAAGAAAGCGUAAUAGCUCACUGGUCGAGUCGGCCUGCGCGGAAGAUGUAACGGGGCUAAACCAUGCACCGAAGCUGCGGCAGCGACACUAUGUGUUGUUGGGUAGGGGAGCGUUCUGUAAGCCUGCGAAGGUGUGCUGUGAGGCAUGCUGGAGGUAUCAGAAGUGCGAAUGCUGACAUAAGUAACGAUAAAGCGGGUGAAAAGCCCGCUCGCCGGAAGACCAAGGGUUCCUGUCCAACGUUAAUCGGGGCAGGGUGAGUCGACCCCUAAGGCGAGGCCGAAAGGCGUAGUCGAUGGGAAACAGGUUAAUAUUCCUGUACUUGGUGUUACUGCGAAGGGGGGACGGAGAAGGCUAUGUUAGCCGGGCGACGGUUGUCCCGGUUUAAGCAUGUAGGCUGGUUGUCCAGGCAAAUCCGGAUAAUCAAGGCUGAGGUGUGAUGACGAGGCACUACGGUGCUGAAGUAACAAAUGCCCUGCUUCCAGGAAAAGCCUCUAAGCAUCAGGUAACAUUAAAUCGUACCCCAAACCGACACAGGUGGUCAGGUAGAGAAUACCAAGGCGCUUGAGAGAACUCGGGUGAAGGAACUAGGCAAAAUGGUGCCGUAACUUCGGGAGAAGGCACGCUGGUGUGUAGGUGAAGUCCCUGCGGAUGGAGCUGAGACCAGUCGAAGAUACCAGCUGGCUGCAACUGUUUAUUAAAAACACAGCACUGUGCAAACACGAAAGUGGACGUAUACGGUGUGACGCCUGCCCGGUGCCGGAAGGUUAAUUGAUGGGGUUAUCCGUAAGGAGAAGCUCUUGAUCGAAGCCCCGGUAAACGGCGGCCGUAACUAUAACGGUCCUAAGGUAGCGAAAUUCCUUGUCGGGUAAGUUCCGACCUGCACGAAUGGCGUAAUGAUGGCCAGGCUGUCUCCACCCGAGACUCAGUGAAAUUGAACUCGCUGUGAAGAUGCAGUGUACCCGCGGCAAGACGGAAAGACCCCGUGAACCUUUACUAUAGCUUGACACUGAACAUUGAGCCUUGAUGUGUAGGAUAGGUGGGAGGCUUUGAAGCGUGGACGCCAGUCUGCGUGGAGCCAACCUUGAAAUACCACCCUUUAAUGUUUGAUGUUCUAACGUUGGCCCCUGACCGGGGUUGCGGACAGUGUCUGGUGGGUAGUUUGACUGGGGCGGUCUCCUCCCAAAGCGUAACGGAGGAGCACGAAGGUUAGCUAAUCCUGGUCGGACAUCAGGAGGUUAGUGCAAUGGCAUAAGCUAGCUUGACUGCGAGCGUGACGGCGCGAGCAGGUGCGAAAGCAGGUCAUAGUGAUCCGGUGGUUCUGAAUGGAAGGGCCAUCGCUCAACGGAUAAAAGGUACUCCGGGGAUAACAGGCUGAUACCGCCCAAGAGUUCAUAUCGACGGCGGUGUUUGGCACCUCGAUGUCGGCUCAUCACAUCCUGGGGCUGAAGUAGGUCCCAAGGGUAUGGCUGUUCGCCAUUUAAAGUGGUACGCGAGCUGGGUUUAGAACGUCGUGAGACAGUUCGGUCCCUAUCUGCCGUGGGCGCUGGAGAAUUGAGGGGGGCUGCUCCUAGUACGAGAGGACCGGAGUGGACGCAUCACUGGUGUUCGGGUUGUCAUGCCAAUGGCACUGCCCGGUAGCUAAAUGCGGAAGAGAUAAGUGCUGAAAGCAUCUAAGCACGAAACUUGCCCCGAGAUGAGUUCUCCCUGAGACUUUAAGUCUCCUGAAGGAACGUUGAAGACGACGACGUUGAUAGGCCGGGUGUGUAAGCGCAGCGAUGCGUUGAGCUAACCGGUACUAAUGAACCGUGAGGCUUAACCUUACAACGCCGAAG